Molecule: long non-coding RNA, 1134 nt
Filed under: Lactuca sativa (garden lettuce)
Lineage: Eukaryota; Viridiplantae; Streptophyta; Magnoliopsida; Asterales; Asteraceae
Description: long non-coding RNA (LSAT_LNC007050)
Source: RNAcentral
UACACAUUAGUCAAUUGUACAAAUCAAUGGACAAAGUUAUAAACAUAAUACAUAGGAAAAAACUUUUGCUUCAAUUUACACCCAAAGAAAACACAAAAUAUAUAAAAACAAUCAAAAAUCAAACCAAUUAUAUAGAAAAUACAUCUCAAUUGAAGCUGUCACAGGAACAGCCCCUAACACCCUUGUCUUCUACGUUUCCUGUUAAUAAGCCUCCAUAUUUCCUUUCAUCCUACAUCGACAAGAAUACUCUUGUUCUUGACUUCGGGUAUACCAGCAAACAGGAAUAACAACAUCACGAUUUUGUUUACUUUUCCUUCCCUGUCAAAUGAAACAAACCCAAAUUCCCUUCAUUAUCAUUGAUUUCCCAGCAAACCCAAACACCCCAAUGAUUUCUAUCAAACAAACAAACAAAAUCCCAAAAGUAUUUUUUUACCGGUGGUCGAUUCAGAACUGCCAAAACAAUGGGAAAACAUCGUGAUUUUCGAGCAAACACCACCGAGAUCCUCACCUGCGACGAAUGGCUGCCGACCGGACUCCGAUCAGACCCCCUUUCCCCUCGUUUUCUUCCUCUGCUUUUCCCAUCGACCACAGAGAUCAGAUGGCCUCGUCUUCACUACUACCGCUUCUUGCAACGCCCGGACCUCACACCUCGCAUCCGGAAGUGACGAGCAAAACUUCGCUGCUUCUUCACGCCCUCCGUCUCUUCAGUCUCGUCGACCCGGAGACUACUCCCUCUUCGCGAAUCGACCGACGAAGCACCGCCUGCGAGCUUCAUUCUCCUUCGGUCUUCUUUGUGGUCUGCGACGAGCAAGGACCGGAUGCAGAGCCGCGACCUCGUGCUUUCCUUCUCGCCAUUUUUGUUCAUCUGCCUUCGUGUUCAUUUUCCCUCACGUCGCCUUCAUCCAUUCGUAUCCCCUUUUCUUUCAUUGCCCGAUCAAACGACGAACAGGGGGGAUUAAAAAGCCCUAAGUCAUUUUAAUUAGAAAAUGACCAAAAUGCCCUCCUUAUUAAACCAUGUCUUCAAAAUCCGUCCCAACCCCAAACAAUGAACCCAUUUGGUUAAAACAACCACUGAAUUGGUAAAUUUUUUUUUUACCAAAACAAUCAUAUUCGUUAAAUUAAACUACCAAACAG